GAUGAACGCUGGCGGCGUGCCUAAUACAUGCAAGUCGAGCGAACAGACGAGGAGCUUGCUCCUCUGACGUUAGCGGCGGACGGGUGAGUAACACGUGGAUAACCUACCUAUAAGACUGGGAUAACUUCGGGAAACCGGAGCUAAUACCGGAUAAUAUAUUGAACCGCUUGGUUCAAUAGUGAAAGACGGUUUUGCUGUCACUUAUAGAUGGAUCCGCGCCGCAUUAGCUAGUUGGUAAGGUAACGGCUUACCAAGGCAACGAUGCGUAGCCGACCUGAGAGGGUGAUCGGCCACACUGGAACUGAGACACGGUCCAGACUCCUACGGGAGGCAGCAGUAGGGAAUCUUGCGCAAUGGGCGAAAGCCUGACGGAGCAACGCCGCGUGAGUGAUGAAGGUCUUCGGAUCGUAAAACUCUGUUAUUAGGGAAGAACAAAUGUGUAAGUAACUAUGCACGUCUUGACGGUACCUAAUCAGAAAGCCACGGCUAACUACGUG
RNAcentral lists this ribosomal RNA (497 nucleotides) under uncultured bacterium. Its description in RNAcentral is "partial 16S ribosomal RNA". It matches the Rfam family "Bacterial small subunit ribosomal RNA", at positions 28 to 507 of the family's 1533-position model. The record is from RNAcentral.